AAGUACCAAUCUACACAGUAAUUUUGACUGUCUAGGCUAUCGAAUACUUAGGGAAUGAAGUUUGUUAACCUUAAACACUAGAAUGGUAAACUUAAAACGAAAUGAUUUAUUUGAAACAAUUCUGGAAUUAAGAUUUCUCACUUGAAUCUUACUAGAGAUGUUAUCUCGUUUAUUUACUGAAUUGAGGAUCAUUUUCCUUGAUGGAAAUCAGUCCUAAGUCAUCCUAAAUCCUCUCUCAAGGCAGCUAGGGUGUAUUCUAAUUAACUCAAACUCAACUUUCGUGGUGAUCAAAUUAAUU
RNAcentral lists this unclassified non-coding RNA (298 nucleotides) under Hevea brasiliensis (rubber tree). Lineage: Eukaryota; Viridiplantae; Streptophyta; Magnoliopsida; Malpighiales; Euphorbiaceae. The record is from RNAcentral.